RNAcentral lists this ribosomal RNA (484 nucleotides) under uncultured bacterium. RNAcentral's name for it is "partial 16S ribosomal RNA". It matches the Rfam family "Bacterial small subunit ribosomal RNA", at positions 30 to 507 of the family's 1533-position model. The record is from RNAcentral.
AUUGAACGCUGGCGGCAGGCCUAACACAUGCAAGUCGAGCGGAUGAAGGGUGCUUGCUCCUGGAUUCAGCGGCGGACGGGUGAGUAAUGCCCAGGAAUCUGCCUGGUAGUGGGUGAUUACGUCCGGAAACGGGCGCUAAUACCGCAUACGCCCUGAGGGAGAAAGUGGGGGAUCUUCGGACCUCACGCUAUCAGAUGAGCCUAGGUCGGAUUAGCUAGUUGGUGGGGUAAAGGCCUACCAAGGCGACGAUCCGUAACUGGUCUGAGAGGAUGAUCAGUCACACUGGAACUUCGACACGGUCCAGAGUCCUACGGGAGGCAGCAGUGGGGAAUAUUAGACAGUGGGCGAAAGCCUGAUCCAACCAUGCCGCGUGUGUGAAGAAGGUCUUCGGAUUGUAAAGCACUUUAAGUUGGGAGGAAGGGCAGUAAGUUAGUACGUUGCUGUUUUGACGUUACCAACAGAAUAAGCACCGGCUAACUACGUG